UACAGAGGUCCCAAGCGUUGUUCGGAUUCAUUGGGCGUAAAGGGUGUGUAGGUGGCGCCGUAAGUCGGGUGUGAAAUUUCGGAGCUUAACUCCGAAACUGCAUUCGAUACUGCGGUGCUUGAGGACUGGAGAGGAGACUGGAAUUCAUGGUGUAGCAGUGAAAUGCGUAGAGAUCAUGAGGAGGACCAGUGGCGAAGGCGGGUCUCUGGACAGUUCCUGACACUGAGACACGAAGGCCAGGGGAGCAAACGGG
Molecule: ribosomal RNA, 253 nt
Filed under: uncultured bacterium
Lineage: Bacteria
Description: partial 16S ribosomal RNA
Rfam family: Bacterial small subunit ribosomal RNA
Source: RNAcentral